This 74-nucleotide transfer RNA is filed under the name Bacillota bacterium. RNAcentral's name for it is "tRNA-Arg". It matches the Rfam family "tRNA". Rfam says of the family: Transfer RNA (tRNA) molecules are approximately 80 nucleotides in length. RNAcentral also lists the same sequence under 1 other name. The record is from RNAcentral. Lineage: Bacteria; Bacillati; Bacillota.
GUGCUAGUAGCUCAGUUGGAUAGAGCAAUGGCCUUCUAAGCCAUGUGCCAGGGGUUCGAAUCCCUUCUAGCACG